RNAcentral lists this ribosomal RNA (355 nucleotides) under uncultured bacterium. RNAcentral describes it as "bacterial SSU rRNA". It matches the Rfam family "Bacterial small subunit ribosomal RNA", at positions 29 to 412 of the family's 1533-position model. The record is from RNAcentral.
AACGAACGCUGGCGGCAGGCUUAACACAUGCAAGUCGAACGCACCGCAAGGUGAGUGGCAGACGGGUGAGUAACGCGUGGGAACGUGCCCUUCAGUUCGGAAUAACCCAGGGAAACUUGGGCUAAUACCGGAUACGUGCGAGAGCAGAAAGAUUUAUCGCUGAAGGAUCGGCCCGCGUCUGAUUAGCUAGUUGGUGGGGUAAUGGCCCACCAAGGCGACGAUCAGUAGCNGGUCUGAGAGGAUGAUCAGCCACAUUGGGACUGAGACACGGCCCAAACUCCUACGGGAGGCAGCAGGUGGGGAAUAUUGGACAAUGGGCGCAAGCCUGAUCCAGCCAUGCCGCGUGAGUGAUGAA